RNAcentral lists this long non-coding RNA (245 nucleotides) under Daucus carota (carrot). Its description in RNAcentral is "long non-coding RNA (DCAR_LNC000212)". Lineage: Eukaryota; Viridiplantae; Streptophyta; Magnoliopsida; Apiales; Apiaceae. The record is from RNAcentral.
AUUACUUUUCCGUUUGGAACCUAUUCUUUCAGCAUAGGGACCAACCCAAACAAAGUAAACCCUUCUUCUGAACUCUUUCUUCGACCCCAGCUUUAGCGUUGUUUAGUUCUCUAUGGGGAGAUUAUCUUUUGGUACAGGAAGUAUUGUACACAUUCCUUGACCAUAUUUGAUACCACAUAUCCUCGGAGGAUUCCACAACUAAGGGGGAGAAUAUAUUUAGGGGGAGAAUAUAUGAAAGGGGGAAG